CAGAAAUUGAAUUGGAAAGGAAAGGAAAGGAAACGUAUGAGAGGGAGAGAGGAAGAAGAGAAGAGAAAGGGAGGGAGUUAGGCUUGGAUUUAGGAGUCUUUGCGACCGUUGCGAGCUCGGCUACACGAUAGAAAAUUGUUGGUGGAACUUAUUGAGAAGUAAGGAACAAGCCGAGCCCUAUUUUGUACAAGGAGAACCCUUUUAGUACCAAAGGGUUGAGGUAACAGGGGAAUUUAUAUUUCUUAUUACUUUGUUUUAGCUAUUUUUGAAUAAAUAUUACUAGUUAUCAUGCAUUACAUGUUUUAAAAGAUUAAAUGUGCUUUAUAAGGGGUUAUGGGGUACUACUUUGAUUAUAGUGCAAAUAUGUUUUCUAAUUGUUUAAUAACAAUGUUUUUAUGGAAAUGAGAUUUAUAAAUAUUAUACUACUUUAGAGUGUUGAAUGGUCAAUACUCAGGAAAGGUAGACAAGAGUAAAAGGCAUGAUCUCGGUGGGAGUUCACCAAUGAGAAGGUGUGGAUUUUUGAUAUUCUAUGGCACACUGUCAGUACUCAGUGUUGUCUUACGUAUUGUGGGCUCAGUGCACUAAAGUGGUUAGUGUAUUGAGUGUUCGACACCUCUCAGUGGGGGAGGGAAUCCAACAUAUGAAGUGUGAGGUUGAGUGCCUAGGCCAAGGUAGCCCUCACAUGGAAAGUAAGUUGGGCUGGCUCUGGGAGGGAGUUAGCUUCAACUGCUUAGGAUUCACGUCGAAGGGGCAUAGGAGGUUCGGUGGAUUAGAUCAUGCCUUAGAUUAUGUUUUGUGCCUGUGGAGGUACAAGUAGGUAUAAGGUUUACCUGCGAGUUAAAGAGUGCCAGGGGGCAUUCUGUUGGUCAUGAAAGGCCAUACCGGCCUAGGUCAUGCAUUCAUGCAUUUUAAAUGGCUAAAUUAUAUACUAUGUUGAAUUUAUUAUUCAUUUAUUUGAUUAUGGCUUACUUUGUAAUAAUCAAUAUAGAUUUCACUGUUACUGAGACUGUGGUUGUCUCACCCCUUUCUUUUCAAUAUUCUAGGUCCAGGCGAAGGAUCCAGUGGUGGACGGGGAAAAGAGCAAAGCUAGGGGUUUGCUUGUGAUUUGUAAAGAACUGCAACCCCUUUCUUUUGAGCAAAUAUAUUGUAAUGUAUUUAAGAUUAGGGUGCCAGUAGGAUAUGAUUAUGUAUGUGUGUGUGAAUAUGUGUGGAUUGUGUGCUUGUGUAUGAAUUUUUGUCUGUUUGCAGACUUGUGGCUAGGAAACUUGGUUA
Long non-coding RNA from Prosopis cineraria, 1272 nucleotides. RefSeq lists it as uncharacterized. The record is from RefSeq and is a predicted model, not a curated record. Lineage: Eukaryota; Viridiplantae; Streptophyta; Magnoliopsida; Fabales; Fabaceae. The transcript has 2 exons.